AGGUGCGAUCAUACCAGCACUAAUGAACCGGAUCCCAUCAGAACUUCGCAGUUAAGCGUGCUUGGGCGAGAGUAGUUCUAGGAUGGGUGACCUUCUGGUACACGACUCCGACUAACUCUUA
Molecule: ribosomal RNA, 121 nt
Filed under: Vigna angularis (adzuki bean)
Lineage: Eukaryota; Viridiplantae; Streptophyta; Magnoliopsida; Fabales; Fabaceae
Source: RNAcentral